Molecule: ribosomal RNA, 253 nt
Filed under: uncultured bacterium
Lineage: Bacteria
Description: partial 16S ribosomal RNA
Rfam family: Bacterial small subunit ribosomal RNA
Source: RNAcentral
UACGGAGGGUGCAAGCGUUAUCCGGAUUUAUUGGGUUUAAAGGGUGCGUAGGCGGGUUAUUAAGUCAGUGGUGAAAGCCUUCAGCUUAACUGAAGAAUUGCCAUUGAUACUGAUGAUCUUGAGUAUGAUUGAGGUGGGCGGAAUGUGUCAUGUAGCGGUGAAAUGCUUAGAUAUGACACAGAACACCGAUUGCGAAGGCAGCUCACUAAGCCAUAACUGACGCUGAUGCACGAAAGCGUGGGGAGCAAACAGG